Molecule: ribosomal RNA, 496 nt
Filed under: uncultured bacterium
Lineage: Bacteria
Description: partial 16S ribosomal RNA
Rfam family: Bacterial small subunit ribosomal RNA
Source: RNAcentral
ACUCAAAGGAAUUGACGGGGGCCCGCACAAGCGGCGGAGCAUGCGGAUUAAUUCGAUGCAACGCGAAGAACCUUACCUGGGUUUGACAUCUCCGGUAAUCCGGCAGAGAUGUCGGGUCCUUCGGGGCCGGUGACAGGUGGUGCAUGGCUGUCGUCAGCUCGUGUCGUGAGAUGUUGGGUUAAGUCCCGCAACGAGCGCAACCCUUGUUCGAUGUUGCCAGCGGUUCGGCCGGGGACUCAUCGAAGACUGCCGGGGUCAACUCGGAGGAAGGUGGGGAUGACGUCAAGUCAUCAUGCCCCUUAUGUCCAGGGCUUCACGCAUGCUACAAUGGCUAGUACAAUGGGUUGCGAUGCCGUGAGGUGGAGCGAAUCCCAAAAAGCUGGUCUCAGUUCGGAUCGGGGUCUGCAACUCGACCCCGUGAAGUCGGAGUCGCUAGUAAUCGCAGAUCAGCAACGCUGCGGUGAAUACGUUCCCGGGCCUUGUACACACCGCCCGU